CUCGCGCAUGGUGGAUUCACAAUCCACUGCCUUGAUCCACUUGGCUACAUCCGCC
This 55-nucleotide transfer RNA is filed under the name Rhinacanthus nasutus. RNAcentral describes it as "partial tRNA-His". The record is from RNAcentral. Lineage: Eukaryota; Viridiplantae; Streptophyta; Magnoliopsida; Lamiales; Acanthaceae.